ACGAAAGCAUCGACCCAUUUCCCCAACUCGAGACCCGCGACGGUGACCCAACAGGAACUCCCUCGUCCGGCGACGGCACGACGGCGCACUGGUCAUGUUCGAUGCGUCUCGUCGUCGUGGUUCUGUCUAUGGUCACGGAUCAUCCAUGCAUGGAGCGAGGAGAGAGAAUCGAAGCCCAAAAGCUUCGGGUUUUCCGGAGAAGUUUCUGCAACUUCCGGCGAUCUCCGGGGCUGCAUGAGGUAUGGAAAUCGGUCCUCUAGUCAUGCUCUACGUCUUGCUGAGUUUAUUUUUGGAUUUGAUUGAGUUUUGAUCGACUGGCUCUUUUGGGUGUUAUCGGGUUCGAUGGAGCUACUGACGACGGUGGCUUUUCCGGUUUCCUGGGUUCAUCUGCGACGUCCUGGAGCCCGACUUGACACUUGGACGAAGCUUGGGUCACCGAGCAGAUCGAACUGAUGAAGUUGGAUUAUGAUCCGGUUCUGUCAAUUGAUUGUCAAAGGUUGCUGAAGUUAGAACUGGUUAUAUGGUUGCUGGGAUUUGACCUCCCUGGUUAUAUGUUUGAUUCUAUCAAAUUGUCUUUGUAUUGAAAAAAGAAAGAAAUUAUGGGUCAGUUGGGUUAUGUUUGGAAAUUUGGGGGAUCAUGACAAUGUUUGAAAUUCCAGAUGUUCAUUUUGAUGCUCACUGUAAA
Rosa chinensis is the source of this 685-nucleotide long non-coding RNA. RefSeq lists it as uncharacterized. The transcript has 2 exons. The record is from RefSeq and is a predicted model, not a curated record. Lineage: Eukaryota; Viridiplantae; Streptophyta; Magnoliopsida; Rosales; Rosaceae.